UGUUCAAGUAGCUGAUCUCAGACUUGAAGCAUUAGCUCUUAUUCUAUCCCCACCUGGUGACUACUUAUACACUUCUUAAGAUCUUUUUUUGCCACCAACAGUAAUGUCAUGCUUUUGCACUUCUGGAAUAGUCAAAUUUGCAGGACAAAGUGCUGUUUCUUUUGAAUGCGUGUUAUUGGAGGCAAAUGAUAUCAUUCCACAAGAAAACUGAAAAACACUUUCUUCAGAAGUUUGCAUUUCUGCUUUUCAACUUUUCAAGAACUUCUCUCUUUUUCUACAGAUAUCAUAAGUUGAGCUCCUUUGAGACACUCAAAUGGACCAAGGACAGAAAGGCCCAGUCGGAACAAGAUGAUGAACUAAAAUGACAGAAGACUGAAAGCUGAGGAGGCCUGUGAAUGAGCAAAGGUGUUCCCGAAAGUGAUCAGUCUGUUUGUCUUCCUAAUGUCUAUGAGCAAACAACAUGAGCAGCAAAUACAGUAAACCAAGCUGAAAGAAACACAAGGAAAUCGCAAUUUAUGCCGGGAUGAAUGUUUGCAAUUUUGGAUAGUGAGAAGAAGUGGCUAGCAGGUGCUGCACCUCCCGCAAUUACAUGAGUAGUCCCUCAGGAAAGGCAGAAGGUGACUGGGAGUGGAUCAGGGUGUUGCAAAGGUAAUUUGUAAUUGUGAGAAGGAGGGGAAGAUGUAUUUGGUGGUGACAUUACACUGCAGGUGACAAAAUAGCAGCAGUUGAUUCAUUGAAGACAUAGGCUGGUGGAGUGGGAAGCAAUGUUCUCUCUAAGCUGCGUGCUUGUGCCGCAGACUGCCACUCCAAUCAGUAUAGGCACACCAUUCAUGGCCUUGGUUUCUCAUUCAGGAUGAUGUUGACGUGCUCUGGCAUCAGAGGCCCAUCUUGUCAGUAAGAAAAUUCAAAGGAAUGCUGGUUGAAAGUGAGGUUAAUGGGAACCCCAUCAUAAUACUGGGAGGAGAAAGUGUGGUACUGGAAGAGUGUGAAAUAGGAUAGACAUAGAUGAGAGGCCUAUCGACCAGAGUGUGAGUGGAACUCCCUCAUUAAGGAGAAAGAAACACAUACCAGAAGCACUAGCAUAGAAGGAUACAUAUUCAUAAGAGGUUUUAUUGGAGGUUAAAACUUUCCUGCAGAAUUUUGAUUGACAUAACUUUACUCAAUCUAUGUAACACGAGUCAACAUUUCCAAUAAUUUCAGAUUUCCAAUUGCAAAUCCUUCUCUAUAAAUUUUAUACUUGAUCCAAAGAUGGACAUCUUGCUGAAGAAUGGAAUCCCCUGCCAUGCUUGAAAAUCUGAUGUUUUAUUGAAGCUAUUGAAAGUGCAUACACCACCAUACGAUAAAAGCCUGAAUUGUAUCUAGAGUUACAAACAGUCAUAGGGAAAUGCAAAAUAGUUUAGUCAGUAACAAUUAGAAUGUAGAAUUACUAAAAUGUCAAUCACAAGGCAAUUCAAAUUGAGAAAGCAUGUUGUGGCUGUUGAAACAAUUGUUUCCAUAGCCACUACUAACAGCCUCAAGAGUGAACAGUUUAUUUGGGGGGGAUAAAUAAAUAGAGAAUUUAAAUCUCUUCAUUCUAAAUGCUCCAACUUGCUCCCCUUUCUCCUGUGAGAUGUGCAUGGUGUCAAUGUAGCGAAUCUACCUUCAACCCAGUCUAUUAGCCAAAUAAAUGAAGAUGACAUAGGAUAAUAUCCAGCUUUUGAGUGUACUCUUGCAAGCUUUAUAGAGUUGGUUCCACACAUUUAGCCUGAUCAAUCAACCGUACUCAUAAAUUAUUCUCUUCACAUUAUAGAUCUGCUGUUUUAGGAUGCUGUAAAGCAGGUAAAAAUUCAAUAAUAUCAUGCUCAAUGAUUCACCAAUAAUCUGAACAGCAGAUGAUGAUGAAACAUUUGACUAGGUUCCAUUUGCAAUUCCCCACCCACCCACCAUCCCAGCCAACUUUCCAGUUUCUCCCAAUAACAUAGGUUAAUUAUCUUGAAUAAUAAUCAGUUCCUUCCUGUGGGCAUGUUUCUGCUGCAGACUAUAAUAAAACAACUUAAUGUGGGUGACACAUUAAAAUAUGAAGGGCUGAAUUCACCCAGGCUUUAAGUUGCAAAUACAGGAGAAGAAACACAGAUGAGAACUGCAGUAUGGUCUAAAUAUUGUUUUAGAAUUCAAGGUGAAACAAAACAAUAAUCAUGGGAAGCAUUUUCAUAGUAAAUCUUUAUUUGGUUUUUUUUUGUAAAUCAGGCUUUUAAAACAGAAAGAUUCACUACUUCAGGAAAACAAUCCAGGAGAGUUGGGUAUAAAGUUUGGUGAUAUUACAUGCAAUCAGCCUGAGGUUACUUGAACUGCAUCAUCCUCCUCAAAACACCAUCCUAAUAAUUGGAUAUAAAGACAUCCAGAAUUAUUUCCGCAACUUUUCAAGGGCUUUUAAAAUUGAGUGGAGGAAUAUCUGUGGCUGUGCAUUAGGCAUGAAUCACAGUCAUAGUUGAGGCAUCUCCUGUGGCUGCGAUGAGGCGACAUUUGGUCCUGUCUCAUGUUAAUGAGGAGCCUAAUACCUGUUUUAAAGCUCCAGUGCCAAACUGGACAGUGUAAUGUAGAACAGGAACCAUUGUUCUAGAGACAGCAAUAUUCCGGUGAUUUCAAAUUGUUGACUAUCAGUUAAUUCUAUUUCUGACCAAGCCCCAGCUCCAUGCAUCUUGGCAGAAUCACAGAAUUGCUUUGGUGCUGAAGAAGGCCAUUCAGCUCAUUGACUGUACUGCUUAGUACUGCUGCUGGCAAGUCAAAGGCCUGACAUUCGAUAAUGUAAAUUGGUAGACAUACCUGAGGAGGUGUGCAAAGUGCUAGCAGCUUGUCCAAAUAAUGUGCAAUUGAACUAAAUUUCAGUCAAUAACCAUCAGUGCACCAUCAUUGGCCGGGUGCACAGGAAUGAACCAUAACGAAUUUCUAGGUUACUGAAGAGAGGCAAAAGGUCUCCAACAGGCUACAGGCCAGUGGCUGUACAGCAACAUUUUUAAGAGCUGGAAAUAUCAGUACAGCUGGGCAAGGACAGCAUACAGCAGGCAGACUGUGAAACUGGCAGACAGACAUGCACUGUACGUCUUGUGUUGUGGGACUUUGGAUUACUACUGUCAUUCAUCAAUACGCUGCAAUUAAUGAGGUUAUUGGGGCACAUGGUCUGUGAAGGUGGGUGAUCAUAUACAGUUGGAUGGGAUGUGGGUGGGAAUGGAAAACUAACUAAUAACAGCUAAAACAAGAGAAUAAAAUUACUUUACAAGUCACUUUUCUAAGUUAAUAAAAAGAAUAGUUAGACAACGCAACUUUAAGUCAGUGUUUCCUUUAUUUCAGAUGUGUUUUUUCCUUUGUAUUUUUUGUUUUAUAAAGUUGUUUGGAACUGUCCUGGAUAAUAUACAAGAAAGAACACUUUUGGAGAGAGACAUAUCUUUGCUGAAGUAAAAUAAAAGAACCUUUGGUAACCUUUUUGUGUUUGCUGUACGGUAACAAUGCUAGAAGGAAGGCAGAAAGCUAGCAUAGAGUCAGGGUACGAUUUGAAUGCAAAUGGUUUAUAAACACAGUUUAGUCUCUCUUCACAGGCACUUUUUAUGGCUAAUCAUUUUACAUAAUUUCAGACAAUACAAAAAAGUAUAUUUAACAUUUAAAGGCCCUUUAGAAAAGCUGUAAUUAUGUAGCACAGUGUAUAUUUUUUUCAUAUUAAAAACCCUGAUCAUAACUACAAAUACAACUUUUUACAAUUUCCAAAAAAAAUUUAUUAACUGAAAUCUGCAGCCCAUAAUGUUUGAAAAGGACAAAGGGGUGGGAGGAAGGAUAAUUUUCAAAUUGUCUUUAAAAAGCAAAAAAAAAUCAGUAGUUUGAUAGUAAAGUGGGAAAUCUCGUAAAGUGAAUCCAAUAUAAAAUACUGCAUUUUUCCACAAUUCUGUUACUUUUAACAAAAAUAUGUAAAAAUGCUAAUUGAGCUGGUAAUAUGUGAAGCACAAAUUGGUGAUAACUGUGAUGCUGAAAUUCUUCAAGUGAUUAAAGCCUGGAUACAUCAUAUACACAUUUUUCAGUACUUACAAAAAAAUCAAGGAAAUAACAGGUUGAUUAUUAAUUAUUAAUAUUUAAGAACCUGGAUGCAGUAGUUGGUUAGUAGCACCAUGAGAAAAAGUUGCUUUCAAAAACAAACAGAAAUAUAAUGUUGGUGUAAGCAGUCUUGUUGUUGUAAUGUUUUCAGUGCAUUACUCUUAAAUUGAAGAAAGUGCCAUUUCGGGGGGUCACCUCUUCCCACUCAUAAUCAGAAGAACAGGAGCACCACUGUUUCUCAUUCCACAACACUGCAGUUUCUCGCUUGUUCCUUUCCAAAAUGCACUGAUUACUCUUUACAUGAGGUACGUACAAAUGUUAUGUAUGAACAGUUAUUUUUUGUUUUUUUUUGUGUUUGUUUUUGCUUCGCACAGUAGCACCAUUGUAAAUGGAAGACAGAGCGCCCUACAGUUUUUACUUAUUGAGCUGGAUAUUUUCUUCUCAGCCGAUUUCUCUUGUUGUCUCAAUGUCGGAAGCCAAUGCAUUACGUCCUUUUCAUACAUACUUGACAGCGGCUCACACGUGUUCGGAGUUCACCCGCUUUUAGAGUCUCGGGCUGCGGUUUACUGUUGUAAAAAAGAG
Stegostoma tigrinum is the source of this 4641-nucleotide long non-coding RNA. RefSeq lists it as uncharacterized. The transcript is spliced from 3 exons. The record is from RefSeq and is a predicted model, not a curated record. Lineage: Eukaryota; Metazoa; Chordata; Chondrichthyes; Orectolobiformes; Stegostomatidae.